Molecule: long non-coding RNA, 165 nt
Organism: Cololabis saira (Pacific saury)
Lineage: Eukaryota; Metazoa; Chordata; Actinopteri; Beloniformes; Belonidae
Exons: 3
Source: RefSeq, a predicted model, not a curated record
CACUGAGACACAUCUGGAGCAGUUGGAGACUCUCACUGCAGCUCUGGAAGUCAAACUGGGAGUCAAAGAAGAACAGUUUGAAGAUCUGAGGAUACAAAACUCAGAUCUAACCUCCAAACUGAUGAACCUGUGGGGAAAACUGAACCGAACUGAGAGUCUCCAGGA